ACACCGAUACUGAUUACACCGAUACUGAUUACAUUGAUACCGAUACUGAUUACACCGAUACUGAUUGCAUUGAUACUGAUACUGAUUACACAGAUACUGAUUACACCGAUACUGAUUACAUUGAUACCGAUACUGAUUACACCGCUGCUGAUUACACCGAUACCGAUUACAUUGAUACUGAUACCGAUUACACUAAUACCGAUUACACCGAUACUGUUUACACCGAUACUGAUUACACCGAUACUGAUUACACCGAUACUGAUUACACUGAUACUGAUUACACCGAUACUGAUUACACCGAUACUGAUUACACCAAUACUGAUUACACCGAUACUGAUUACACCGAUACUGAUUACACUGAUAGCACUGAUACUGCUAUUGAAGGAGUAAGAUGUUUGAGUUGAGAGAGAUACACCAAGGAGUUUCCAAAACUGCCUCUACUCUCAGGAUCUUUGUCUUGACAACAGAAUAUAUAUUUGGUACGGAUACAUAACAAAACUCACUGGGUGGCUGGUCUAUGGGAAAAUAUCUGAUGUCGAUACCACAGCUCUCAAAUAGGUUCCAAUUGGGAACAAUAUCCCAAUUGUACCAAGUUCCAAUUGGGAUUUGGAAAAGUAAAUGUACUUAAUCCCAUAAGGCCUAUUGAUCUGCAGUGAGGCAUUUAAUUUACAUUGGCACCUUGUUCCCCAACUAGCUUACCUGGUUAAAUAAAGGUGGAAUAAAAAACCUUGGCACGACUCUGAGCGCUGAUGGGAAACUGCAUGCUUUCACAGAACACGAUGACAACACUGUUGGCUUGAACCGAGUCAACUGAUGUGUCUUAACUUGCUUUGUCUGGGAUGACAAACAUCAGGUGAUCACCGAGAAGAAUGAGGGGGUAAAUUAAUCACAAGGACAUGCAAAUUCUCAGCAUUAUGGAUAUUGUUUAUACUGUCCUUCAGAUAUAUUGUUUAUACUGUCCUUCAGAUAUAUUGUUUAUACUGUCCUUCAGAUAUACUGUUUAUACUGUCCUUCAGAUAUAUUGUUUAUACUGUCCUUCAGAUAUAUUGUUAUACUGUCCUUCAGAUAUAUUGUUAUACUGUCCUUCAGAUAUAUUGUUUAUACUGUCCUUCAGAUAUAUUGUUUAUACUGUCCUUCAGAUAUAUUGUUUAUACUGUCCUUCAGAUAUAUUGUUUAUACUGUCCUUCAGAUAUACUGUUUAUACUGUCCUUCAGAUAUAUUGUUUAUACUGUCCUUCAGAUAUAUUGUUAUACUGUCCUUCAGAUAUAUUGUUAUACUGUCCUUCAGAUAUAUUGUUAUACUGUCCUUCAGAUAUACUGUUUAUACUGUCCUUCAGAUAUAUUGGCAGUGUGAACAUGUCCCAAACCUAUAUUUACAGAUAAUGAUUUAAUACAGGUAAAUGCUUUGAAACUCAUUCAUUCUAAGCUAUCAAGCCCCCUGAAACCUGUCAGUCAGUUUGUGUUCUGUUGACAGCUUUGAGCCACAGCGAGCACCAAUUCCACAUUUACACCCAUCAUCCACAUCAGGUGAUCACCAAGUAUUCUGAAGAUUAUAGUUUGUCUGUUUAAUAAAUUUAAAAAAAUAAUACAUCUACUCUUAAGAUGUUGUGGUCACAUGUAGGAGGAAAACAGGGGUUGGAUAGAAAAGGGUUUUUGGAAAACCGCAAAGUGUCCUGAUAGCUGUCAGUCAGGUUCUGUAAUGUUAGCAUUCCUGAGCCACACCCAGUACCACUUCCACAUCCUGGGACUUGCAAGGUUCAUAAGAAUCUACACAGUGGAUAUUUUUAGUGGGGAGUUAAAUAGUUCAAAAUAGUUCUAGAAGCAAUAGAAUCCUACAUCCCAGCAUGGCUAGAACUUUAAUAAGAUACCUUUCUUCCAAAAUAUAUACAAUUAAGAUCGUGACUACUACUCUUCUUUUACAAACUUGUUUUAUUUUUAUUUUUAGAUACUGUCGUCUUUUCUGUGUGUGGUCAUACUAUAUACACUGACAGACAAGUACCAACAGGAUAGUGUCUACUUUUUGCCGUGAGGCAGAAUACGCUGCUGUCAUAACAUACAGGCAACCUCCAUAUCUAUGUAAUUACACUGCUAAAACCUAAAGCAGCGACAAAAUAGCAUUUCAUCCAGUCACCGCCACGUCAGGAUACUGUACCUGAAACAGGGAGACCGUAACAGGUAAUCACCUGAAAUCAGGUUACACCUGUCUAGAACCAACUGGUAUAAAGGAGUGGAUCCACUAGAAAAAUCAACAACAACAGACUAGUUCCACACCCAGCUGUAGCUUUGACAACAAACAAUUUACUUAUCUCGUUUUAUGUCAUCUGGUUAAUCACAAGCAGCUAGCGUAAUAACCCUACAUGGCCACAAACAAAUCAUCUUGAACCAAUCACCUUCCAAAUCAAAUCAAAAUGUUAUUUGUCACAUGCGCCGAAUACAACAGGUGUAUUUACAAGCCCCUUAACCAAUAAUGUAGUUUUAAGAUUUUAAGAAAAUCCCCCCCCCCCCAAAAAAAGAGAUAAGAACAACAAAUAAUCAAAGAAUAAGAGCUAUAUUUUCACAGGUUGCUGUUUAUUGUAAUGAGUCUUGUCCUGAAGGCUUUCCACAUGUUUCGGACUCGGCUAGGCGAACCUAGUGUGCCAUAAUACCAUAAAAGACCUUCGCUUGAAAAAUGAGAAAAGACGGCAAUAGUAUUGUUUGUCCACCUUGAGACGCCGUAGCCAGUAUACAUACACUGCCUCAAAAUAGUCUGAAUUAAUCUAAGAUUAAAACUUUUAAAAAAUGACAGAUUUCUUGAGUUGAUGUUUUGCCGAGGAGAUUUUAGGUCGCACAAUUUUACAUCUAAGAUGUUUUGGUGCAGUAUUUCCCAAGUGAAAAAAAAUGUGCUUUUGGUAUUAAAUUACUGUUAGGGUUAAGCACUCUGGGCUGUGGUGUCUGUGGGUUGUAGGUGAUUACACUGUGUCUGUGGGUUGUAGGUGACUAUUCUGUGGGUUGUAGGUGACUACACUGUCUGUGGGUUGUAGGUGACUAUUCUGUGGGUUGUAGGUGACUACACUGUGUCUGUGGGUUGUAGGUGACUAUUCUGUGGGUUGUAGGUGACUACACUGUGUCUGUGGGUUGUAGGUGACUAUUCUGUGGGUUGUAGGUGACUACACUGUCUGUGGGUUGUAGGUGACUACACUGUGGGUUGUAGGUGACUACACUGUGGGUUGUAGGUGACUACACUGUGCGUUGUAGGUGACUACACUGUGGGUUGUAGUUGACUACACUGUGCGUUGUUGGUGACUACACUGUGUCUGUGGGUUGUUGGUGACUACACUGUGGGUUGUAGGUGACUACACUGUGUCUGUGGGUUGUAGGUGACUAUUCUGUGUCUGUGGGUUGUAGGUGACUACUCUGUGGGUUGUAGGUGACUACACUGUGGGUUGUAGGUGACUACACUGUGGGUUGUAGGUGACUACACUGUGGGUUGUUGGUGACUACACUGUCUGGGUUGUAGGUGACUAUUCUGUGUCUGGGUUGUAGGUGACUACACUGUGUCUGUGGGUUGUAGGUGACUACUCUGUGUCUUUGGGUUGUAGGUGACUACACUGUGGGUUGUAGGUGACUACACUGUGGGUUGUAGGUGACUACUCUGUGUCUUUGGGUUGUAGGUGACUACACUGUGGGUUGUUGGUGACUACACUGUCUGGGUUGUAGGUGACUAUUCUGUGUCUGGGUUGUAGGUGACUACACUGUGUCUGUGGGUUGUAGGUGACUACACUGUGUCUGUGGGUUGUAGGUGACUACACAGUGUCUGUGGGUUGUAGGUGACUACACUGUCUGUGGGUUGUAGGUGACUACUCUGUGUCUUUGAGGCAAAAUGUGCUGACUGUGAUAUGUGGUUGUCCCACCUAGCUAUCUGGAGAUGAAUGUACUGACUAUGACUGGUCCACCUACCCAUCUGGAGAUGAAUGUACUAACUGUGACUGGUCCACCUAGCUAUCUGAUGAAUGUACUGACUAUGACUGGUCCACCUACCUAUCUGAUGAAUGUACUGACUAUGACUGGUCCACCUACCUAUCUGGAGAUGAAUGUACUAACUGUGACUGGUCCACAUAGCUAUCUGGAGAUGAAUGUAUGGACUAUGACUGGUCCACAUAGCUAUGUGGUAUAGCUUGUGGUUCUAUAGUCUGUCCUGUUGUCAGUCAGUGGUUCUAUAGUCUGUCCUGUUGUCAGUCAGUGGUUCUAUAGUCUGUCCUGUUGUCAGUCAGUGGUUCUAUAGUCUAUAGGUUGGGAACCCCCAGGCGUUUCAGAUUUGUUUUAGCCCUGAGCUGGUUCACCCUUUAGAGUGUGUGUGUGCGUAUGUGUGUGUGUGUGUGUGUGUGUGUGUGUGUGUGUGUGUGUGCGUAUGUGUGUGCGUAUGUGUGUGCGUAUGUGUGUGUGUGUGUGCGUAUGUGUGUGCGUAUGUGUGUGUGUGUGUGUGUGUGUGUGCGUGCGCGUGUGUGUGUGUGUGUGUGCACGCGUGCGUGUUAUGCUGGGUGGAACAGCACACAGCCUGACAGAGGUAGGCCUUUCUAGCUGCCGUUCUCGAUUGCAAAAUACCAAAUAAAUAUUUUGCUUCCAACAGCCUCUUUCUCCCAUCUGUGUCACAAACCAUCCCAGUAUGUGAAGCUAACGACUACCUCUUCUUUUCAAGAGCAACGUUAAUAAAAAUAUAGAUUUUCUCUCUGUGGAGAAACAAGUACUUCACAGAUUCUGCUAAUGCCUGCUCCAAACCGUCUCUAGUGACUGCUCCUAACCGUCUCUAGUGACUGC
Long non-coding RNA from Oncorhynchus tshawytscha (Chinook salmon), 4793 nucleotides. The record is from Ensembl. NCBI's taxonomy places the organism in Eukaryota, Metazoa, Chordata, Actinopteri, Salmoniformes, Salmonidae.